RNAcentral lists this ribosomal RNA (274 nucleotides) under uncultured bacterium. RNAcentral describes it as "partial 16S ribosomal RNA". It matches the Rfam family "Bacterial small subunit ribosomal RNA", at positions 523 to 796 of the family's 1533-position model. The record is from RNAcentral.
AGACGGAGGGUGCAAACGUUGUUCGGAAUCACUGGGCAUAAAGCGCACGUAGGCGGUUCGUAAAGUCAGGUGUGAAAUCCCUCGGCUCAACCGGGGAACUGCAUCUGAUACUGGCGAACUCGAGGAUGGUAGGGGUGAGCGGAACUCCAGGUGGAGCGGUGAAAUGCGUAGAUAUCUGGAGGAACACCGGUGGCGAAGGCGGCUCACUGGACCAUCUCUGACGCUGAGGUGCGAAAGCCAGGGUAGCAAACGGGAUUAGAAACCCCAGUAGUCC